Molecule: ribosomal RNA, 375 nt
Filed under: uncultured organism
Description: partial 16S ribosomal RNA
Rfam family: Bacterial small subunit ribosomal RNA
Source: RNAcentral
GUAGGUGGCAAGCGUUUGUCCGGAAUUAUUGGGCGUAAAGCGCGCGCAGGCGGUUCUUUAAGUCUGAUGUGAAAGCCCACGGCUCAACCGUGGAGGGUCAUUGGAAACUGGAGAACUUGAGUACAGAAGAGGAAAGCGGAAUUCCACGUGUAGCGGUGAAAUGCGUAGAGAUGUGGAGGAACACCAGUGGCGAAGGCGGCUUUCUGGUCUGUAACUGACGCUGAGGCGCGAAAGCGUGGGGAGCAAACAGGAUUAGAUACCCUGGUAGUCCACGCCGUAAACGAUGAGUGCUAAGUGUUAGGGGGUUUCCCGCCCCCCUUAGUGCUGCAGCUAACGCAUUAAGCACUCCGCCUGGGGAGUACGGCCGCAAGGCUG